GACGGAGGAUGCAAGCGUUAUCCGGAAUGAUUGGGCGUAAAGCGUCCGCAGGUGGCAGUUCAAGUCUGCUGUCAAAGACCGGGGCUUAACUUCGGAAAGGCAGUGGAAACUGAACAGCUAGAGUAUGGUAGGGGCAGAGGGAAUUCCUGGUGUAGCGGUGAAAUGCGUAGAGAUCAGGAAGAACACCAGUGGCGAAGGCGCUCUGCUAGGCCGUAACUGACACUGAGGGACGAAAGCUAGGGGAGCGAAUGGG
Molecule: ribosomal RNA, 253 nt
Filed under: uncultured bacterium
Lineage: Bacteria
Description: partial 16S ribosomal RNA
Rfam family: Bacterial small subunit ribosomal RNA
Source: RNAcentral